AGACAGGAACUCAGGUGAGAGUUGGAGAGACAGGAACUCAGGCGAGAGGUGGAGAGACAGGAACUCAGGUGAGAGAUGGUGGAAAGACAGGAACUCAGGCGAGAGGUGGAGAGACAGGAACUCAGGCGAGAGGUGGAGAGACAGGAACUCAGGUGAGAGAUGAUGGAGAGACAGGAAUUCAGGUGAGAGUUGGAGAGACAGGAACUCAGGCGAGAGGUGGAGAGACAGGAACUCAAGUGAGAGAUGGUGGAGAGAUAGGAACUCAGGCGAGAGGUGGAGAGACAGGAACUCAAGUGAGAGAUGGUGGAGAGACAGGAACUCAGGCGAGAGGUGGAGAGACAGGAACUCAGGUGAGAGAUGGUGGAGAGACAGGAACUCAGGCGAGAGGUGGAGAGACAGGAACUCAGGUGAGAGAUGGUGGAGAGAUAGGAACUCAGGCGAGAGGUGGAGAGACAGGAACUCAGGUGAGAGAUGGUGGAGAGACAGGAACUCAGGCGAGAGGUGGAGAGACAGGAACUCAGGUGAGAGAUGGUGGAGAGACAGGAACUCAGGCGAGAGGUGGAGAGACAGGAACUCAGGUGAGAGAUGGUGGAGAGACAGGAACUCAGGCGAGAGGUGGAGAGACAGGAACUCAGGUGAGAGAUGGUGGAGAGACAGGAACUCAGGCGAGAGGUGGAGAGACAGGAACUCAGGCGAGAGGUGGAGAGACAGGAACUCAGGUGAGAGGUGGUAGAGAUCAUUCCCUACAGUGGCUAUGGGAAUAAAGACAAGUUAAUGCAUUUAAAUAGUGAAGAUGCAGAAGUGAUAAAACUUGACCACUGAUCGGGUUGGAUGGUGAAGGAGAAGGUGAGUUAGGGAUGUCCUCUGCUUCUAGCAACAAAACGGUUUAGGACAACACACCUGGCACAGGCGGAAGGGUGGGCUGCCCGCCUGCGCAGAACCCUCCUCACGCU
Molecule: long non-coding RNA, 953 nt
Filed under: Homo sapiens (human)
Lineage: Eukaryota; Metazoa; Chordata; Mammalia; Primates; Hominidae
Description: HSALNT0116856
Source: RNAcentral